This 223-nucleotide ribosomal RNA is filed under the name uncultured bacterium. RNAcentral describes it as "partial 16S ribosomal RNA". It matches the Rfam family "Bacterial small subunit ribosomal RNA", at positions 128 to 334 of the family's 1533-position model. The record is from RNAcentral.
GCCUUAAGGAUGGGGAUAACAGACGGAAACGACUGCUAAUACCGAAUACGUUCUAAGCAUCGCAUGGUGCAUAGAAGAAAGGGUGGCCUCUACAAGAAAGCUAUCGCCUUAAGAGGGGUUUGCGACUGAUUAGGUAGUUGGUGAGGUAACGGCUCACCAAGCCGACGAUCAGUAGCCGGUCUGAGAGGAUGAACGGCCACACUGGAACUGAGACACGGUCCAG